This 253-nucleotide ribosomal RNA is filed under the name uncultured bacterium. RNAcentral's name for it is "partial 16S ribosomal RNA". It matches the Rfam family "Bacterial small subunit ribosomal RNA", at positions 524 to 776 of the family's 1533-position model. The record is from RNAcentral.
UACGUAGGGUCCGAGCGUUGUCCGGAGUUACUGGGCGUAAAGCGCGCGCAGGCGGCGGCGUUGGCCCGGCGUGAAAGCCCCCGGCUCAACCGGGGAGGGUCGUCGGGGACCGCGCCGCUUGAGGGUGGCAGGGGCUGGUGGAAUGCCUGGUGUAGUGGUGAAAUGCGUAGAGAUCAGGCGGAACACCCGUGGCGAAGGCGGCCAGCUGGGCCACCACUGACGCUGAGGCGCGAAGGCGUGGGGAGCGAACGGG